This 776-nucleotide ribosomal RNA is filed under the name Salmonella enterica. Its description in RNAcentral is "partial 23S ribosomal RNA". It matches the Rfam family "Bacterial large subunit ribosomal RNA", at positions 1163 to 1895 of the family's 2925-position model. Lineage: Bacteria; Pseudomonadati; Pseudomonadota; Gammaproteobacteria; Enterobacterales; Enterobacteriaceae. RNAcentral also lists the same sequence under 2 other names. The record is from RNAcentral.
CAAGACAACUUUACGGAGUUGACGAUUGACGGAGCGAAGCGACGUCAAAGCGUUCAUUAAAGUCGAGUUGGCUUAGGGAUACGUUCGUUGGGUAGGGGAGCGUUCUGUAAGCCUGUGAAGGUGUGUCGUGAGGCAUGCUGGAGGUAUCAGAAGUGCGAAUGCUGACAUAAGUAACGAUAAAGCGGGUGAAAAGCCCGCUCGCCGGAAGACCAAGGGUUCCUGUCCAACGUUAAUCGGGGCAGGGUGAGUCGACCCCUAAGGCGAGGCCGAAAGGCGUAGUCGAUGGGAAACGGGUUAAUAUUCCCGUACUUGGUGUUACUGCGAAGGGGGGACGGAGAAGGCUAUGUUGGCCGGGCGACGGUUGUCCCGGUUUAAGCGUGUAGGUGUGUGUUCCAGGUAAAUCCGGUUCACUUUAACACUGAGGCGUGACGACGAGGCACUACGGUGCUGAAGCAACAAAUGCCCUGCUUCCAGGAAAAGCCUCUAAGCAUCAGGUAACACGAAAUCGUACCCCAAACCGACACAGGUGGUCAGGUAGAGAAUACCAAGGCGCUUGAGAGAACUCGGGUGAAGGAACUAGGCAAAAUGGUGCCGUAACUUCGGGAGAAGGCACGCUGACACGUAGGUGAAGUGAUUUACUCAUGGAGCUGAAGUCAGUCGAAGAUACCAGCUGGCUGCAACUGUUUAUUAAAAACACAGCACUGUGCAAACACGAAAGUGGACGUAUACGGUGUGACGCCUGCCCGGUGCCGGAAGGUUAAUUGAUGGGGUCAGCG